GGACACGCUCGCUGUAAAUUGUAGCUACAAAGCGUAUUAUUUGAACAGCUUGGUGUUACUUCUUACAGUGAGUGUUUCC
RNAcentral lists this microRNA precursor (79 nucleotides) under Drosophila busckii. Its description in RNAcentral is "mir-971 microRNA precursor family". It matches the Rfam family "mir-971 microRNA precursor family". Lineage: Eukaryota; Metazoa; Arthropoda; Insecta; Diptera; Drosophilidae. The record is from Rfam by way of RNAcentral.